RNAcentral lists this long non-coding RNA (212 nucleotides) under Elaeis guineensis (African oil palm). RNAcentral's name for it is "long non-coding RNA (EGUI_LNC045433)". Lineage: Eukaryota; Viridiplantae; Streptophyta; Magnoliopsida; Arecales; Arecaceae. The record is from RNAcentral.
CCACUGGAUCCUCGCCCGAUGGCUUCUCGCGAAGCAUCCGCACGGCAACUCACGACCUCCGUAGCCAGAUCUCAGGCUCCGGUCUCACCUCUGGUUUCUCGAGCUCCACAUCCUCUGGCUAUGGUCGCCGACAUGGAGUGGUCGGACAAUUGACCUCCGACGAAUUUCGCCAACACCUUCUCGGGAGGAUCCCGGCAGGAAGCAACCAACGU